AGUAAUGCUUGGGAAUCUAGCUUAUGGAGGGGGAUAACUACGGGAAACUGUAGCUAAUACCGCGUAGAAUCGAGAGAUGAAAGUGUGGGACCUUCGGGCCACAUGCCAUAGGAUGAGCCCAAGUGGGAUUAGGUAGUUGGUGAGGUAAAGGCUCACCAAGCCGACGAUCUCUAGCUGGUCUGAGAGGAUGACCAGCCACACUGGGACUGAGACACGGUCCAG
RNAcentral lists this ribosomal RNA (222 nucleotides) under uncultured bacterium. Its description in RNAcentral is "partial 16S ribosomal RNA". It matches the Rfam family "Bacterial small subunit ribosomal RNA", at positions 109 to 334 of the family's 1533-position model. The record is from RNAcentral.